UUAAAAUAUUUAUUAUUAUUUAAAUUUAAAUAGAAUUUUUUAAAAAUAAUUUAAUUUUUAGUAUUUUUUAGAAAAAUAUUAAUUUAUUAUAGUUUAUUAGUAUUGUAAGAGAAGAUAUUUUAAUAUUGAAAAGAAAAAUUCAAUUUUUGUACCUUGUGUAUCAGGGUUUAUUUAAUUUAUUUAAAAAUUUAAUAUUCUUGAAUUUAAAAGAUUUAAAAAUUUAUUAAUUUUAUUAUAAAAUAAAUAUUUUUAAUUAAUUUUUUGGAUUGAAAUAUUAUUCGUUUUUAAGUAUAUCUAGUUUUUUUAGAAAUAAAUUUAAUUUAUUUAUUUAUAAUAAUAUAUUUAUAUAUUUAAUUAUAUGAUAUAAAUGAUAAAAAUUUUUAGGGAUAAGCUUAAAAAUUAAUUUUUAUUAAAAAUAAUGUAUUUUAUUUAAUAUUAGGAAUAAAAAUUUUUAUAUUUUAAUAUAUGUUAUUAUUUAUUAUAAAAAUAAAUAAUUUUUUUUUUUAUAAAUUAUUUAUUAAAAUAUAAUUUUUAAUUUUUAAAAUUUAGUAAUAAUGAUUAAAUUAGUAUGAUUAAUAAGGUUUAUUAUUAGGUAAUUAUUAAUUAUUUUAAAAGAAUUCGGCAAAAAUUAUUUUCGCCUGUUUAUUAAAAACAUGGUUUUUUGUUAAAAAUUUAAAAUUUGGCCUGCCCACUGAUAAAUUGAAUGGCCGCAGUAUUUUGACUGUGCUAAGGUAGCAUAAUCAUUAGUUUUUUUAUUGAAAGCUAGAAUAAAGGGUUGGACGAAAAAUAUUCUGUUUUUAUUAUAAUUUAUAGAAGUUUAUUUUUAAGUUAAAAAGCUUAAAUUAUUUUAAAAGACGAGAAGACCCUAUAGAGUUUUAUAUAAUUAUUAAUAUUAUUGUAUUUAUAAUUAAAAAGUAUUAUUUAUGAUUAUAUUUUAUUGGGGUGAUUUAAAAAUUUAAUUAACUUUUUAAAUAUAAAAUAUUAAUUUAUAAAUAAUUGAUUUAGUGAUUUUAAUUAAAAGAUAUAAUUACCUUAGGGAUAACAGCGUAAUUUUAUUUGAUAGUUCAAAUUGAAAAUAAAGAUUGCGACCUCGAUGUUGGAUUAAAAUUUAUAUUUAGUGUAGAGGCUAUAAUAAUUAAGUCUGUUCGACUUUUAAAAUUUUACAUGAUCUGAGUUUAGACCGGUUUAAGCCAGGUCGGUUUCUAUCUUUAAUUAAAUAAUAUAUUUUAGUACGAAAGGAUCAAU
RNAcentral lists this ribosomal RNA (1245 nucleotides) under Coleoptera sp. ACP-2013. RNAcentral's name for it is "16S ribosomal RNA". The stretch from base 1038 to 1197 matches the Rfam family "Archaeal large subunit ribosomal RNA", at positions 2544 to 2703 of the family's 2987-position model. The record is from RNAcentral. Lineage: Eukaryota; Metazoa; Arthropoda; Insecta; Coleoptera.